RNAcentral lists this long non-coding RNA (1110 nucleotides) under Bos grunniens (domestic yak). Its description in RNAcentral is "lncRNA (ENSBGRG00000009002.1)". The record is from RNAcentral. Lineage: Eukaryota; Metazoa; Chordata; Mammalia; Artiodactyla; Bovidae.
CCGGGGGUGGCCCCUCGGCUACUUACCGGGGCGGAGAGCGCCGGGCGCCGGGCCCGGGGCCGGGCGCGGGCACCGGGCCGCGGGCGCCGGACGGUGGGCGCGCCCGAGGGAGCCCCGGCCGGCCGGCCGCCCGCCCGCGCGCCCGCCCGCCCGCGGCCUGGCCGCCGCCCCUCGCGGCUCCCCGCUCCGCAGAGCCGGGCCCGGGCGCUGGGCGCGGGCCGCGGGCUGGAGGCCGCCGGGCGCCCAGCGGGCGCGAGGGGCGGCCGCGGCGCCCCAGCCCGAGGCCUGGCGCAGAGCAGCGGGAGGCGGCGCAGGCCGCGGCGGGGCCUGCAGCGGCCACUCAGGCCCGCGCGGCGGCGGGGCGGGGUCCCCAGGCGGCUCGGCCUCGGGCUCGGCGGCCGGGGGCGGCCGGGGGUGGCCCCUCGGCUACUUACCGGGGGCGGAGAGCGCCGGGCGCCCGGGGCCCCGGGCCGGACCGCGGAGAUGCCCCGAACUGACACGGCCGCCAUCUUGGAGACAGUGCGCUCCGGCCGGGGGGAGGGGAGGCGGGGCGGCGGAACAGCCGCGGGGGGAGGGGUGGCGGCGCGAGGGAACGGCGGCCUGGGGGAGGGCGCGGGAACGGCUCGGGAGGGAGGCGGGUGGGAGGGGGAAGAGGGGGCCGCGCGGGCGGCGGGCGGGGGGGAGGCGGCCGCGGAGCGGGAAGAGCUGGGCCGGGCGCCGGGGAAGGCCGGAGGGCGGGGCGGGGGCAGCAGGGAACAGCCGGCCGCGCGGGUCACGUGGGGCCGGUACAAAAGGCCAAAGUGGGAGGCGGCGCCGCGCGCGCGGAGCCCCGGCGGCCGGGGGGCGCCCGUGCGCGGGCCGGGCGGCUCCCCACCCCGGGGCUGGAGCAGCCGCGGCGAACCCCAUGGCACCGCCAGGGGAGCGGAGGGCCGCGCCCGGGCGGGGAGGCUUCGGGGCGGCGCGGAAAUCCGGGAAGGGCAGUGCAUGACAGAUGACAGACGAAAUAACUCAUACUUUUGUGUGGACACGUUUUCCCGCCCCCGGACCAUUUCACCGGCCAGACUGUUCUCCCCAAACAUCUCCUGGAUUUAUCCCAGCUUUACCAUUUAA